GGGGAAUAUUGCGCAAUGGCCGCAAGGCUGACGCAGCGACGCCGCGUGUGGGAGGACGCCUUUCGGGGUGUAAACCACUGUUGCCCGGGACGAACAGCCUUUUUCGAGAGGCCUGACGGUACCGGGUGAGGAAGCACCGGCUAACUCCGUGCCAGCAGCCGCGGUAAUACGGAGGGUGCGAGCGUUGUCCGGAAUCACUGGGCGUAAAGGGCGCGUAGGCGGCUCGCGAAGCGUGCGGUGAAAGCCCGGGGCUCAACCCCGGGUCGGCCGUGCGAACUGGCGAGCUGGAGCACAGUAGAGGCAGGUAGAAUUCCGGGUGUAGCGGUGGAAUGCGUAGAGAUCCGGAAGAAUACCAGUGGCGAAGGCGGCCUGCUGGGCUGUGGCUGACGCUGAGGCGCGACAGCGUGGGGAGCAAAC
This 417-nucleotide ribosomal RNA is filed under the name uncultured bacterium. Its description in RNAcentral is "bacterial SSU rRNA". It matches the Rfam family "Bacterial small subunit ribosomal RNA", at positions 356 to 773 of the family's 1533-position model. The record is from RNAcentral.